Molecule: ribosomal RNA, 593 nt
Filed under: uncultured bacterium
Lineage: Bacteria
Description: bacterial SSU rRNA
Rfam family: Bacterial small subunit ribosomal RNA
Source: RNAcentral
CCUACGGGAGGCAGCAGUGGGGAAUUUUCCGCAAUGGGCGAAAGCCUGACGGAGCAACGCCGCGUGAGGGAUGAAGGCCUCUGGGCUGUAAACCUCUUUUAUCAAGGAAGAAGAUCUGACGGUACUUGAUGAAUAAGCCACGGCUAAUUCCGUGCCAGCAGCCGCGGUAAUACGGGAGUGGCAAGCGUUAUCCGGAAUUAUUGGGCGUAAAGCGUCCGCAGGCGGUCUUGUAAGUCUGUCGUUAAAGCGUGGAGCUUAACUCCAUUUCGGCGGUGGAAACUACAAGACUAGAGUGUGGUAGGGGCAGAGGGAAUUCCCGGUGUAGCGGUGAAAUGCGUAGAUAUCGGGAAGAACACCAGUGGCGAAGGCGCUCUGCUGGGCCAUAACUGACGCUCAUGGACGAAAGCUAGGGGAGCGAAAGGGAUUAGAUACCCCUGUAGUCCUAGCCGUAAACGAUGAACACUAGGUGUCGGGGGAAUCGACCCCUCGGUGUCGUAGCUAACGCGUUAAGUGUUCCGCCUGGGGAGUACGCACGCAAGUGUGAAACUCAAAGAUAGUAGGCGNGAGAGNGCGACGACGACGACGAGGAGGAG